Molecule: ribosomal RNA, 466 nt
Filed under: uncultured bacterium
Lineage: Bacteria
Description: partial 16S ribosomal RNA
Rfam family: Bacterial small subunit ribosomal RNA
Source: RNAcentral
GAUGAACGCUGGCGGCGUGCUUAACACAUGCAAGUCGAACGGAAAGGCCCAAGCUUGCUUGGGUACUCGAGUGGCGAACGGGUGAGUAACACGUGGGUGAUCUGCCCUGCACUUCGGGAUAAGCCUGGGAAACUGGGUCUAAUACCGGAUAGGACCACAUUUUGGAUGGUGUGGUGGAAAGUUUUUCGGUGUGGGAUGAGCUCGCGGCCUAUCAGCUUGUUGGUGGGGUAAUGGCCUACCAAGGCGUCGACGGGUAGCCGGCCUGAGAGGGUGUACGGCCACAUUGGGACUGAGAUACGGCCCAGACUCCUACGGGAAGCAGCAGUGGGGAAUAUUGCACAAUGGGCGCAAGCCUGAUGCAGCGACGCCGCGUGGGGGAUGACGGCAUUCGGGUUGUAAACUCCUUUCGCUAGGGACGAAGCGUUAUGUGACGGUACCUGGAGAAGAAGCACCGGCUAACUACGUG